GACGAACGCUGGCGGCGUGCCUAAUACAUGCAAGUAGAACGCAGUUGCGAACGGGUGAGUAACGCGUAGGUAACUGCCUGGUAGCGGGGGAUAACUAUUGGAAACGAUAGCUAAUACCGCAUACUACCAGAUGGACCUGCGUUGUAUUAGCUAGUUGGUGAGGUAACGGCUCACAAAGGCAACGAUACAUAGCCGACCUGAGAGGGGGAAGGGCCAGACUGGGACUGGGACACGGCCCAGAGUCCUGCGGGAGGCAGCAGUGGGGAAUCUUAGGCAAGGGGGGGAACCCUGGCCGCGCAACGCCUCUGGAGUGAAGAAGGUUUUCGGAUCGUAAAGGUCUGUUGAUAAUGAAGCGGUACUUAGCGAGAAAGGGACGGCUAACUACGUGCCAGCAGCCGCGGUAAUAC
Molecule: ribosomal RNA, 407 nt
Filed under: uncultured bacterium
Lineage: Bacteria
Description: partial 16S ribosomal RNA
Rfam family: Bacterial small subunit ribosomal RNA
Source: RNAcentral